UAUUUCCGGGUAGGAUAGAAUGCUAGUCGAGUGGCUCAGCCAAUACGAGCCACGGCAUACAGCUCAGUAACACGUGGCUAAUCUGCCCUUAGGACGAGAACAACCCCGGGAAACUGGGGCUAACUCUCGAUAGGCGAAGAACUCUGGAAUGAGUCUUCACCCAAAUAGUUCAGCGUUACGCUCGUUGGACCGCCUAAGGAUGAGGCCGCGACCGAUCAGGUUGUUGGUGAGGUAAUAGCUCACCAAGCCUUUUACCGGUGCGGGCCGUGAGAGCGGGAGCCCGGAGAUGGGCACUGAGACAAGGGCCCAGGCCCUACGGGGCGCAGCAGUCGCGAAAACUUUGCAAUACACGAAAGUGUGACAGGGCUAUCCCGAGUGCCAUCCGCUGAGGAAGGCUUUUACCCAGUCUAGAAAGCUGGGGGAAUAAGGAGAGGGCAAGUCUGGUGUCAGCCGCCGCGGUAAUACCAGCUCUCCGAGUGGUGUGGAUGUUUAUUGGGCCUAAAGCAUCCGUAGCUGGCUAAGUUAGUCCCUUGUUAAAUCCACCGAAUUAAUCGUUGGAUUGCGGGGGAUACUGCUUGGCUAGGGGACGAGAGAGGCAGACGGUAUUUCCGGGGUAGGGGUGAAAUCCUAUAAUCCCGGGAAGACCACCAGUGGCGAAGGCUGUCUGCUAGAACGCGCCCGACGGUGAGGGAUGAAAGCUGGGGGAGCGAACCGGAUUAGAUACCCGGGUAGUCCCAGCUGUAAACGAUGCAGGCUAGGUGUUUGGACGGCCACGUGCCGUUCUAGUGCCGCAGGGAAGCUGUUAAGCCUGCCGCCUGGGGAGUACGAUCGCAAGAUUGAAACUUAAAGGAAUUGGCGGGGGAGCACCACAAGGGGUGAAGCUUGCGGUUUAAUUGGAGUCAACGCCGGG
Molecule: ribosomal RNA, 910 nt
Filed under: uncultured archaeon
Lineage: Archaea
Description: bacterial SSU rRNA
Rfam family: Archaeal small subunit ribosomal RNA
Source: RNAcentral